AACGAACGCUGGCGGCAGGCUUAACACAUGCAAGUCGAACGCAUCGCAAGAUGAGUGGCAGACGGGUGAGUAACGCGUGGGAAUCUACCGUGCCCUGCGGAAUAGCUCCGGGAAACUGGAAUUAAUACCGCAUACGCCCUAUGGGGGAAAGAUUUAUCGGGGUAUGAUGAGCCCGCGUUGGAUUAGCUAGUUGGUGGGGUAAAGGCCUACCAAGGCGACGAUCCAUAGCUGGUCUGAGAGGAUCAUCAGCCACAUUGGGACUGAGACACGGCCCAAACUCCUACGGGAGGCAGCAGUGGGGAAUAUUGGACAAUGGGCGCCAGCCUGAUCCAGCCAUGCCGCGUGAGUGAUGAAGGCCCUAGGGUUGUAAAGCUCUUUCACCGGUGAAGAUAAUGACGGUAACCGGAGAAGAAGCCCCGGCUAACUUCGUGCCAGCCGCCGCGGUAA
RNAcentral lists this ribosomal RNA (447 nucleotides) under uncultured bacterium. RNAcentral's name for it is "partial 16S ribosomal RNA". It matches the Rfam family "Bacterial small subunit ribosomal RNA", at positions 29 to 523 of the family's 1533-position model. The record is from RNAcentral.